UGGGGAAUUUUGCGCAAUGGGGGAAACCCUGACGCAGCAACGCCGCGUGGAGGAUGAAGGUCCUUGGAUUGUAAACUCCUUUCGACCGGGACGAUUAUGACGGUACCGGAUGAAGAAGCACCGGCUAACUCUGUGCCAGCAGCCGCGGUAAUACAGAGGGUGCAAGCGUUGUUCGGAAUUAUUGGGCGUAAAGGGCGCGUAGGCGGUGUGGCAAGUUUCUCGUGAAAUCUAUGGGCUCAACCCAUAGCCUGCGGGGAAAACUGCCAUGCUCGAGUGUGGGAGAGGUGCGUGGAAUUCCCGGUGUAGCGGUGAAAUGCGUAGAGAUCGGGAGGAACACCAGCGGCGAAAGCGGCGCACUGGACCACUACUGACGCUGAUGCGCGAAAGCUGGGGGAGCAAACAGGAUUAGAUACCCGUGUAGUCC
RNAcentral lists this ribosomal RNA (424 nucleotides) under uncultured bacterium. RNAcentral describes it as "bacterial SSU rRNA". It matches the Rfam family "Bacterial small subunit ribosomal RNA", at positions 355 to 796 of the family's 1533-position model. The record is from RNAcentral.